AUACGGAGGAUGCAAGCGUUAUCCGGAUUUAUUGGGUUUAAAGGGUGCGUAGGCGGAUGAUUAAGCGUGAGGUGAAAUGCCACUGCUCAACAGUGGAACUGCCUCGCGAACUGGUUGUCUUGAAUGCUCCUGCCGUGGGAGGAAUGUGUGGUGUAGCGGUGAAAUGCAUAGAGAUCACACAGAACACCGAUUGCGAAGGCAUCUCACGAAGUGGUGAUUGACGCUGAGGCACGAAAGCGGGGGGAGCAAACAGGAUUAGAUACCCUGGUAGUCCACGCAGUAAACGAUGAUAACUAACCGCUGGGUCGUAGUGAUUCAGUGGCCAAGCGAAAGCGAUAAGUUAUCCACCUGGGGAGUUCGACCGCAAGGUUGAAACUCAAAGGAAUUGACGGGG
RNAcentral lists this ribosomal RNA (394 nucleotides) under uncultured bacterium. Its description in RNAcentral is "partial 16S ribosomal RNA". It matches the Rfam family "Bacterial small subunit ribosomal RNA", at positions 523 to 918 of the family's 1533-position model. The record is from RNAcentral.